Small nucleolar RNA from Sarcophilus harrisii (Tasmanian devil), 203 nucleotides. Its record names the gene SNORA73. It matches the Rfam family "Small nucleolar RNA SNORA73 family". From Rfam's summary of the family: U17 (SNORA73A and SNORA73B) also known as E1 belongs to the H/ACA class of small nucleolar RNAs (snoRNAs). Vertebrate U17 is intron-encoded and ranges in length from 200-230 nucleotides, longer than most snoRNAs. The record is from Ensembl. NCBI's taxonomy places the organism in Eukaryota, Metazoa, Chordata, Mammalia, Dasyuromorphia, Dasyuridae.
CCAACGUAGAUGCUCUGUAGAGAUGAAUCUCUUCAGGCUGUAUCUUUGUGGCGGAAGGGAGUGUAGGGCUCUGCCCUGUGACAUAGAGUCCCAUUCCACAACGUUGGAGAUCAAGCUGGGCCUUGUGUCUGCACCUGCAUAUUCCUAAACCUUCUCAGAGUCCUGCACUGUGACUGAGGAGACAAACCAUGCAGGAAAUAGUA